RNAcentral lists this ribosomal RNA (446 nucleotides) under uncultured bacterium. RNAcentral describes it as "partial 16S ribosomal RNA". It matches the Rfam family "Bacterial small subunit ribosomal RNA", at positions 338 to 795 of the family's 1533-position model. The record is from RNAcentral.
CCUACGGGCAGCAGCAGUCGAGAAUCAUUCACAAUGGGGGAAACCCUGAUGGUGCGACGCCGCGUGGGGGAAUGAAGGUCUUCGGAUUGUAAACCCCUGUCAUGUGGGAGCAAAUUAAAAAGAUAGUACCACAAGAGGAAGAGACGGCUAACUCUGUGCCAGCAGCCGCGGUAAUACAGAGGUCUCAAGCGUUGUUCGGAAUCACUGGGCGUAAGGCGUGCGUAGGCUGUUUCGUAAGUCGUGUGUGAAAGGCGCGGGCUCAACCUGUGUAUGGCACUUGAUACUUGCAAGCUGGAAUGCGGUAGAGGUAAAGGGAAUUCCUGGUGUAGCGGUGAAAUGCUUAGAUAUCAGGAGGAACAUCGGGGGCGUAAGCGCUUUACUGGGCCGUAAUUGACGCUGAGGAACGAAAGCCAGGGUAGCAAAUGGGAUUAGAUACCCGAGUAGUC